GAGUUCUCGUUGAUGAUCGGUGCUUGCACCGAGAUUCAACAUGGAACGAGUGGCGGACGGGUGAGUAACACGUGGGUAACCUGCCCUUAAGUGGGGGAUAACAUUUGGAAACAGAUGCUAAUACCGCAUAGAUCCAAGAACCGCAUGGUUCUUGGCUGAAAGAUGGCGUAAGCUAUCGCUUUUGGAUGGACCCGCGGCGUAUUAGCUAGUUGGUGAGGUAAUGGCUCACCAAGGCGAUGAUACGUAGCCGAACUGAGAGGUUGAUCGGCCACAUUGGGACUGAGACACGGCCCAAACUCCUACGGGAGGCAGCAGUAGGGAAUCUUCCACAAUGGACGCAAGUCUGAUGGAGCAACGCCGCGUGAGUGAAGAAGGCUUUCGGGUCGUAAAACUCUGUUGUUGGAGAAGAAUGGUCGGCAGAGUAACUGUUGUCGGCGUGACGGUAUCCAACCAGAAAGCCACGGCUAACUACGUGCCAGCAGCCGCGGUAAUACGUAGGUGGCAAGCGUUAUCCGGAUUUAUUGGGCGUAAAGCGAGCGCAGGCGGUUUUUUAAGUCUGAUGUGAAAGCCCUCGGCUUAACCGAGGAAGCGCAUCGGAAACUGGGAAACUUGAGUGCAGAAGAGGACAGUGGAACUCCAUGUGUAGCGGUGAAAUGCGUAGAUAUAUGGAAGAACACCAGUGGCGAAGGCGGCUGUCUGGUCUGUAACUGACGCUGAGGCUCGAAAGCAUGGGUAGCGAACAGGAUUAGAUACCCUGGUAGUCCAUGCCGUAAACGAUGA
RNAcentral lists this ribosomal RNA (780 nucleotides) under uncultured bacterium. RNAcentral describes it as "bacterial SSU rRNA". It matches the Rfam family "Bacterial small subunit ribosomal RNA", at positions 59 to 812 of the family's 1533-position model. The record is from RNAcentral.